Leptonychotes weddellii (Weddell seal) is the source of this 1476-nucleotide long non-coding RNA. RefSeq lists it as uncharacterized. The record is from RefSeq and is a predicted model, not a curated record. NCBI's taxonomy places the organism in Eukaryota, Metazoa, Chordata, Mammalia, Carnivora, Phocidae.
CUAACCGGUGAAUAGAAAACUCAUAGGAACUGUUCAGACACCCAAGGUGAAUCCCAAUGGUUGGCGAAGGCCUCUUCCUGCAGGCUCUUGAUGAAAGAGGAAGUUUUCCUAAGGAGUGAAGGAACCCGGAGCUCUCCUGGUUGUCAGCCCCGACUUCCAGAUACUUUUCCACGCUGUGACUAUUUCCUCCAUUCCCUGGUGAAAACCACCCUGCUGCCACUCUCCAAAUGCCUCUUUCCUCACUCAGACCUGAGUCUCCAAGCUGCCAGGGCCCAUACCCUGUCUCACUGUGUUCCCAUCCACCUCAUGGUAGAAGGUGCUGCCUGCGUCUCUUCUGCCCCAUCCUCCUCCCAAAGCCUGGAGGCAGUGCUUUUAACAUUCGAGCAUCCAGGGAUCCCAGAGCCGAGCAGCAGAAGAAACACUCGAUGUGGAUUAUAGACCCCUGGGCAAAAGUGGGCUCGUGGAAUGGAACACAGGAGGAAGGCAGGCACACAAGGAACUGUAAGAAUGGAGAGGAAGACUGCUUCAAGUAAUGAAAAUUGCACAGAUUUGGAAGUCAGAGAACGGGGUUCUAAUUCCAACCUCACCAUCUACUAUUGUGGUUGCAGGCAACCAAAACCAACUCCAGCUGACAUAUGCAGAAAAUGGCAUUAUUAAAAACAUAAGGAGUGGCUCCCAGAAUCACUGGAAGAACUAAAGAACUGGCAUGGGGCUGCAGCCAAGAACACCACCCAGGAUCAUGAGGCAGAGCCUGUCUGGUGAGACCCCUGCCCCUGCAGUCCUCACUACUGCAUUGUCACCUCUGAACCUCAUAUGUGAUGGCCGCAUCACCAACACCCCCAGUCCCAGAUGCUGCAGAAGACCAUCUGCCCUAAGGAACUGAGUCUCCUUCGGCUUUCACCACCACAGAGCUGGAGUCUCAUAGCCCCCACAUCACUGGCUCUGGGCUUUCGGUGGGCACCAUGUGACUGAUGGAGGCUAGGUCUCAGACAGAGGCCAGACAAGCAAGGACUUGGCAUUUUCUUCCUCUAUGAUUAUAAAUAGGCCUGCCUCUUUCCAAGAUUCAUUAGAAGGGGAAUUCCCAAAACAGAAGAUGAGAGUUCCAAAGCUGGACAGCCAAAAUAACUUUCAAAGGCAAAUGUCCACUAAAGUGUCCAUUAACGAUUUCUCUGUGAUGAGCAUGAUUUUUUAAUCCAUGCAUUAAAAAUUCAGUAAUUUCCCACAGGGAAGUUCUCUCAAGGAUUUACAUCUCUCAUUAAAUUCCUUUCUAAGUUGAAAUUAUAGUCUUGGAGCUAAAGUGAAAGAUUGGUCAAAAUAUUAAUUGUUUGACUGAUUUAUUUGUGCUUUAUUUUUUCACCAAUAGAUUUCCCUUUUUCAGAAAAUCAUUAAUUGCAUAUUAUAUUCUCCACCAAGACUUGUACCCUUUCAGCACUCAGAUGCCGUGAUAUUACAGCCUCUUGCCCUAUAAAAAGUAAG